UUUUCGAACAAUUUAAAGACGAUGUUUUUAGGUGAACUUUGGUUUAAAAACGCAGGGCUUCCAUGUAGGCGCCAAAACGCCUUCCUGACGGACGUUAAGGCGACCUCCGACUGCUUACCGCCUUUACCCAUGUCUUCUACUAGAACACAUCUUAACUUUUUCUUCAUGCCGGCUUGAGGCAAGCCAUGGAAGCCCUAUAUAAACGUAGUAGUACACUUUACAAGU
This is a non-coding RNA of Caenorhabditis elegans, 225 nucleotides long. Lineage: Eukaryota; Metazoa; Nematoda; Chromadorea; Rhabditida; Rhabditidae. The record is from Ensembl.